This 429-nucleotide ribosomal RNA is filed under the name Bacteroidota bacterium. Its description in RNAcentral is "Bacteroidetes bacterium partial 16S ribosomal RNA". It matches the Rfam family "Bacterial small subunit ribosomal RNA", at positions 355 to 776 of the family's 1533-position model. Lineage: Bacteria; Pseudomonadati; Bacteroidota. The record is from RNAcentral.
UAGGGAAUCUUCCGCAAUGGGCGAAAGCCUGACGGAGCAACGCCGCGUGAGUGAUGUAGGUCUUCGGAUCGUAAAACUCUGUUAUUAGGGAAGAACAAAUGUGUAAGUAACUAUGCACAUCUUGACGGUACCUAAUCAGAAAGCCACGGCUAACUACGUGCCAGCAGCCGCGGUAAUACGUAGGUGGCAAGCGUUAUCCGGAAUUAUUGGGCGUAAAGCGCGCGUAGGCGGUUUUUUAAGUCUGAUGUGAAAGCCCACGGCUCAACCGUGGAGGGUCAUUGGAAACUGGAAAACUUGAGUGCAGAAGAGGAAAGUGGAAUUCCAUGUGUAGCGGUGAAAUGCGCAGAGAUAUGGAGGAACACCAGUGGCGAAGGCGACUUUCUGGUCUGUAACUGACGCUGAUGUGCGAAAGCGUGGGGAUCAAACAGG